Molecule: long non-coding RNA, 1466 nt
Filed under: Homo sapiens (human)
Lineage: Eukaryota; Metazoa; Chordata; Mammalia; Primates; Hominidae
Description: long non-coding RNA NONHSAT149140.1
Source: RNAcentral
UUACACUAUUAGGCGGUCAAGAAGCAGAUCGAGACGGCGGUCACAUUCUAAGUCUAGGAGUCGGCGACGAUCCAAAAGCCCAAGGCGGAGAAGAUCUCAUUCCAGAGAAAGAGGUAGAAGGUCAAGGAGCACAUCAAAAACAAGAGACAAAAAGAAAGAAGACAAAGAAAAGAAACGUUCUAAAACACCACCAAAAAGUUACAGCACAGCCAGACGUUCUAGAAGUGCAAGCAGGUAAGAGACGACGACGAAGAAGCAGGAGUGGCACAAGAUCUCCUAAAAAGCCUCGGUCUCCUAAAAGAAAAUUGUCCCGCUCACCAUCCCCUAGGAGACAUAAAAAGGAGAAGAAGAAAGAUAAAGACAAAGAAAGAAGUAGGGAUGAAAGAGAACGAUCAACAAGCAAGAAGAAGAAGAGUAAAGAUAAGGAAAAGGACCGGGAAAGAAAAUCAGAGAGUGAUAAAGAUGUAAAACAGGUUACACGGGAUUAUGAUGAAGAGGAACAGGGGUAUGACAGUGAGAAAGAGAAAAAAGAAGAGAAGAAACCAAUAGAAACAGGUUCCCCUAAAACAAAGGAAUGUUCUGUGGAAAAGGGAACUGGUGAUUCACUAAGAGAAUCCAAAGUGAAUGGGGAUGAUCAUCAUGAAGAAGACAUGGAUAUGAGUGACUGAAUAUUGCCUCUGAGGGAGUCCAACUGUAUACCUGCAUCAGUGUCAUUCCUUUGUGUGAUUUCUUAAUGCUGUAUUUGUUCAUCUCAAACCUAGAUGUAUACAGCUCUGAGUUAUAAAUGGUUAUAAAGCUCCUGUUACUCAUAUUAGUUAUUUACAUCAAAAAGCUUUUAGAAAAUGGUACGAGGUAACCAAUUCUUGUCAUGGUGAAAUCUGAUUGAGUAACCAAGCAGUUUUACUAUUCUGGUGCUGCUUCAUAACAAAAAUGAAAAGCUGCAUGCAUCUACAGCAGGCAUGGAUUGUUUAUGUCGUAUGAUAUCCUUUAUUAAGUAAGUUCACUUAUAGUAUUUCUAUAAUUUGAUUCAUUGCCGUAAUAGAGCCAUGUAGGAAAUGCACUGAUUGCAUGUUAUUGUGGCAAGAAUAUCCUAAAUGUCAUUAAAAUCCUCCAACAUGAUGGAUCUACUUAUGGUCUUGUUUGUUGACAUGACAAAUUAACAUUCUUAUAGUUACAUCUGGAAAUGAGCAUUUGAAAUAGAUAAUCCUUUAAGCCUUGUGGCAAAAUUUUUGUGGCUUUUGUUUAACUUUGAAAGGUUAUUAUGCACUAACCUUUUUUGGUGGCUAAUUAGGGUUUAAAUACAGAAACAAGAUUUCAAAUAAAACUGUCUUUGGCAGUGAGUAAAUAGCAUAUUUUGAAGUAGAGUUGUAUACUUUUUCAUAAGAUGUUUGGGAAUUUUUUUCCUGAAGUAAUAAUUUAUUCCACAUCUACAUCAGUGAAAGCUAUCUACCUAUCCUGAGUCUAUC